GAAAAAGCUGAACGAUGUAAUUCCAUCCCCAGGCUGAAACACAUUAGCGCGUUUGGCAAGUGCUCUAUCAGAGGGCCAUUAGACUGAGGCUCGUGCAUGAGGGGAUAGCAUGCUUUUACUUUCACUCUCUUUGUAAUAAAAAAAAACGAUUUCCCGGUCGGAAUAUUAUCGCUUUUUUACGAGAAAAAUGGCAUAAAAAUUGAUUUUAAACAGCGGUUGACAUGCUUCGAAGUACGGUAAUGGAAUAUUUAGAAUUUUUUUGUCACGAAUUGCGCCAUGCUCGUCACCCUUAUUUACCCUUUCGGAUAGUGUCUUGAACGCACGAACAAAACGCCGCUGCUUGGAUAUAACGAUGGAUUAUUUUGGACCAAACCAACAUUUGUUAUUGAAGUAGAAGUCCUGGGAGUGCAUUCUGAUGAAGAACAGCAAAGGACCUGAGCCCUAAGACCAUGUCUCAGGACUACCUGGCCUGAUGACUCCUUGCUGUCCUCAGUCCACCUGGUCGUGCUGCUGCUCCAGUUUCAACUGUUCUGCCUGCAGCUAUGGAAUCCUGACCUGUUCAUCGGACGUGCUACCUUGUCCCGAACCUGCUUUUUUUGACUCUCUCUCUACCGCACCUGCUGUCUCUAACUCUGAAUGAUCGGCUAUGAAAAGCCAGCUGACAUUUACUCCUGAGGUGCUGACAUGUUUUGCACCCUCUACAACCACUGUGAUUACUAUGAACGUUUGAACAUCUAGGCCAUCUACUGUUAUAAUCUCCACCCGGCACAGCCAGAAGAGGACUGGCCACCCCUCAGAGCCUGGUUCCUCUCUAGGUUUCUUCCUAGGUUCCUGCCUUUCUAGGGAGUUUUUCCUAGCCACUGUGCUUCUACAUCUGCAUUGCUCUCUGUUUGGGGUUUUAGGCUGGGUUUCUGUCUAGCACUUUGUGACUUCCAGCUGAUGUAAAAAGGGCUCGAUAAGUACAUUUGAUUGGAUUGAUUGAUUGAUGUCAGACACGCACUAUCCUAAUGCUCUUUUUGACUGAUGACUGUACAUGAUAGGCCUAUCUGGCUUAUAUGAUUAUGAUGGUCAUAAUGGUUCUUGACAGUGUCAUAAAGUGUAUUUUCUUAGUCCGAGCAAAGUGACACAGGAUGUUCAUAAUGCUUCUUGACAUUGUCAUAAAGUGCAUUUUCUUAGUCCAAAUAAAAUGACACAGGAUGGUCAUAACGCUUUCUGACAAUGUCAUAAAGUGUAUUUUCUAUAGGUUAUUUAAAAUAUGUUGAAGAAAAAAAACAUGACUGUAAAGAAUUCAUUACAACAACAACAACAAAGGACCUGUCUAGCUGGCUAUCUAAAGCCAACUUCAUAAAGUGGCUUUGUGGCUAGUAUUACAGAGAAACAUCAAAACAUUUUGGCAUUAUUUAUUCAUCAAGAAGAAAUCAAUAGGCAGCGUAGCUUGAUCAAAUUCCUUUACAAACAUCACGGGCAGCUGGAACCAAAUCAAAUGCUGCCUUUGUUCCCUGGUGCACCGUGAAAGGAAACACUUACCAGGGAGAAUGUCCAGCCAGUGUACCCCCUCCGCAAAAUACAGCAGACAGAUAUUUUUAUAAAUAAUUCUGAUAAAAUGUGGCCUUUAAAUGAAGUUUAGGUAUUCAUUUAACAUCUGAUAUUUCUUUUAAACAGGACAAAUCACAGGGGGCACGUGCCCUUGUGAUGCCUCUGAGCGUGGCUAUCCAUAUUAUCGGGGAAAUGAUCAGGGAUGGUGGAAAUCCACAUAGUAUGACAGAAUACCUGAGACUUACCUUUAGAUUUAGUUUGGAGGAUGAGGAACAUAUGAAGCUUCACACAACAGCUCUUAGCUUUUAAGUCUAUGGACGAUAUACAGUAACUACAGUACAAUGCAGUCUGACUGUGUAGGUGUGUACACUGGCAAACGCAAAUAUCCCAAGCUGUUGGAACAUGUGAUUAUUUUAUAAGCAUGCAUUUACAUGAAUACAUUUUAGUAGUUUAGUAGUCAUCCCACUUUGCUGCCUGAAGGUAAAUUACAUAAACUGCUCAAGCAUGACCAGACCACCUGUACAUUCAAUAUAAUAUACACUCAUACAUUAC
RNAcentral lists this long non-coding RNA (2088 nucleotides) under Salmo salar (Atlantic salmon). RNAcentral describes it as "lncRNA (ENSSSAG00000094367.1)". The record is from RNAcentral. Lineage: Eukaryota; Metazoa; Chordata; Actinopteri; Salmoniformes; Salmonidae.